AAGGUUCAAUGGAAAAAUCAUGAGGACCGCAAGGAGCUAGAGUUUAGCGAAAAAGAUAGCAUAUUUAUUUUCGUGAGGUUUAUAAUCAAGUUUGGGGACGAAACUUUUUGUAAGGGGGGAGUAAUGUAGAAACCGAAGUUUUAUAAUAAAUUUUUUAAAAACUUGGGGUAUUUUUUUAUGUAAUUGGACUAUUUUUUAAUGAAACAAAAUUACCAUUUUGAGGUCUCGUAGUAAUGGAGGUCGUGAUAGGAUCUUUUCUAUGAUUUUGUGAUAUAAAAGCAUUGUUUGGAGAGAAAAACAACAAGAAAGCAACUAAUAAAGAGUUCUUUCUAGAAAAAAAGUGCGAGAUUUUAUGUGCCAAGUUGCGAGAUUUCUCAAGUGGAGGACAUAUGGUGCAAAGUACACAUUUUGGGGAGUUUUGAGUAAGAAAAUUAAAAGUAGAGGGGCUAAAAUGCAAUUAUCGUGAAAUGCGAUUUUAGAAGUUCGAGAUUAUCUCUUCCUUUCUCCUCUUCCUCUUCCUCUCCUAUCUACCACCUUCCUUCCAUACCCUAUUGUCGCACCACGUUGCUCCGACGAUCUCCUCGGCCGACAAGGAGCUUCCACGAGCUAUAUUUCUCUCUUUUUCUCUCUUUAUCUCUCAUAUUUCCCUCUUUACUCUCUCUCACCAUGGCUGUGACCUCCCCACUCCUCGACACCAACCGAUUGACCUCCGACGACCUCUUUCUAAU
This 728-nucleotide long non-coding RNA is filed under the name Ananas comosus (pineapple). Its description in RNAcentral is "long non-coding RNA (ACOM_LNC028265)". Lineage: Eukaryota; Viridiplantae; Streptophyta; Magnoliopsida; Poales; Bromeliaceae. The record is from RNAcentral.